AGGACGAACGCUGGCGGUGUGCUUCACACAUGCAAGUCGAACGGAGUAGCAAUACUCAGUGGCGGACGGGUGAGUAACACGUGGGAAUCUGCCUUUAGAUGGGGGAUAGCAGACCGAAAGGUCUAUUAAUACCGCAUAUGCCGAGAGGUGAAAGUAGCAAUACGUCUGAAGAUGAGCCCGCGCCCGAUUAGCUAGUUGGUAAGGUAAAAGCUUACCAAGGCUACGAUCGGUAGCUGGUCUGAGAGGAUGAUCAGCCACAAUGGAACUGAGACACGGUCCAUACUCCUACGGGAGGCAGCAGUGGGGAAUUUUACACAAUGGGCGAAAGCCUGAUGUAGCGACACCGCGUGAGCGAAGAAGCCUUUGGGUGUAAAGCUCUGUCAGCAGGGACGAAAAAAAUGACGGUACCUGCAGAGGAAGCAUCGGCUAACUACGUGCCAGCAGCCGC
This 448-nucleotide ribosomal RNA is filed under the name uncultured bacterium. RNAcentral's name for it is "SSU rRNA". It matches the Rfam family "Bacterial small subunit ribosomal RNA", at positions 26 to 518 of the family's 1533-position model. The record is from RNAcentral.